Non-coding RNA from Triticum aestivum (bread wheat), 115 nucleotides. The record is from Rfam. NCBI's taxonomy places the organism in Eukaryota, Viridiplantae, Streptophyta, Magnoliopsida, Poales, Poaceae.
UAACUACUCCCUCCGUUCCAAAUUACUUGUCGCAUAUGUGGAUGUAUCUAGAUGUAUUUUAGUUCUAGAUACAUCCAUUUCGGCGACGAGUAAUUUGGAAUGGAGGGAGUAGAUG